AUUACUCAUCACUAAUGCUAAAUGAAGGCAUAUAAAAAAUUCUAACUCAAAAAGUGGCCAAUUUGUUACAAAACUAUGUUAGGUCUUCAAAUUUUGUGUUAAACAAUAAGUUUGGGUACGUAUUGAUUUGUCAUAUUUUUUGAAGUUCAUGCAGAUUUGGUAUUCUGCUGUUUCGUCACCAGACAUUUGGAGAAAUGUUAAGAUACGAACGACGCAGUUAGAGAAGUUGGAUUUAAAGGUUUUUGAUGUAAUUUUGGUUUAUCUGAAAUAUUUAUUGUCGUUUUUAUUUUUUUGAUCAAUUGUACUCGGUUUGCUAAAUAAACAAAGCCAAAUAGUCAUGCUAAAAAUAAAAUAAAAAACUGUGUUUUCCGGUAGGAAUGAAGUAUAAACCUAGAAUCAGGUAAUGUGCGUAUCCUAACUAGAUUGGCAUACAACUAUUUAUCUCAUUCUAAACGAAAAAUGGUGAUUUAAAAAGUUCACGCUCGGUUCCAGCCUUCCAGGUAACUUAAUUGAAACUCAUUCCCUGCUGCUCGUGGUCCAUAUAAAUUGGAUAAACCCCAUAAAACCCUAACUCUAACAGAAAAAAAGAAAGAAAAAGAGCUAGAUCCCAAUCCAUGGGCGCGCAACCCAGAAGCACUGGUCGAUGGACAACCCAUGCGCGUUACAAAGCACUGAAGCUGAACGGGUCGAUGGCCCAGGGCGAUUUCUUCAGGCGCAGGGACUCGUCGGCCCAGAAGGACAACCCAAAUCCCAGGCCCACAAGCCGUCGUUUACCCAAGUGAUUUCAGAACCCGGCCCAGAUCCAAGUAGAGGCAGAUCAGAACUUGGGCCAGGAAUACUUGCUGCUUUAGCUAUUCCCAGACAGAUUCUACCAUACCAGACAGGCCCAGGAUUGCUGUUCGCAGCUCGCCUGCAUAAAUCGAAGGCGCCAAGCCCCGCUCAAAAAAUAAAUAAAUCGAAGGCGCCAAGCCAAUCAGCAACAACGCUUG
Molecule: long non-coding RNA, 989 nt
Filed under: Brachypodium distachyon (stiff brome)
Lineage: Eukaryota; Viridiplantae; Streptophyta; Magnoliopsida; Poales; Poaceae
Description: long non-coding RNA (BDIS_LNC004333)
Source: RNAcentral